UACGUAGGGUGCGAGCGUUGUCCGGAAUUAUUGGGCGUAAAGAGCUCGUAGGCGGUGUGUCACGUCGUUCGUGAAAACCUGCAGCUUAACUGUGGGCGUGCGGUCGAUACGGGCAUCACUGGAGUUCGGCAGGGGAGACUGGAAUUCCUGGUGUAGCGGUGAAAUGCGCAGAUAUCGGGAGGAACACCUAUGGCGAAGGCAGCUCGCUGGGACGUUACUGACGCUGAGACGCGAAAGCGUGGGGAGCAAACAGG
This 254-nucleotide ribosomal RNA is filed under the name uncultured bacterium. RNAcentral describes it as "partial 16S ribosomal RNA". It matches the Rfam family "Bacterial small subunit ribosomal RNA", at positions 524 to 776 of the family's 1533-position model. The record is from RNAcentral.